This 487-nucleotide ribosomal RNA is filed under the name uncultured bacterium. Its description in RNAcentral is "partial 16S ribosomal RNA". It matches the Rfam family "Bacterial small subunit ribosomal RNA", at positions 28 to 507 of the family's 1533-position model. The record is from RNAcentral.
GACGAACGCUGGCGGCGUGCUUAACACAUGCAAGUCGAACGGAAAGGCCCCCAUCUUGGUGGGGGUGCUCGAGUGGCGAACGGGUGAGUAACACGUGGGUGAUCUGCCCUGUACUUCGGGAUAAGCUUGGGAAACUGGGUCUAAUACCGGAUAGGACCAUGGUUUAGUGUCUCAUGGUGGAAAGAUUAUUGUUUUGGUGCAGGAUGAGCUCGCGGCCUAUCAGCUUGUUGGUGGGGUAAUGGCCUAUCAAGGCGUCGACGGGUAGCCGGCCUGAGAGGGUGGACGGCCACAUUGGGACUGAGAUACGGCCCAGACUCCUACGGGAGGCAGCAGUGGGGAAUAUUGCACAAUGGGCGCAAGCCUGAUGCAGCGACGCCGCGUGGGGGAUGACGGCCUUCGGGUUGUAAACUCCUUUCGUUAGGGACGAAGCCACGCUUUUGGGGUGUGGUGACGGUACCUUUGUGAAGAAGCACCGGCUAACUACGUG